RNAcentral lists this ribosomal RNA (267 nucleotides) under uncultured archaeon. RNAcentral describes it as "partial 16S ribosomal RNA". It matches the Rfam family "Archaeal small subunit ribosomal RNA", at positions 718 to 982 of the family's 1478-position model. The record is from RNAcentral.
AGUCACUGACAUUAGACUACCCGGUAGUCCAGGGUGUAAACGCUGCAGACUUGGUGUUGGAGGCCCGUUUGGGGGCAUUCAGUGCCGGAGAGAAGUUGUUAAGUCUGCUACGUUGGGAGUACGUCCGCAAGGAUAGAAACUUAAAGGAAUUGGCGGGGGAGCACCGCAACGGGAGGAGCGUGCGGUUUAAUUGGAUUCAACACCGUAAAACUCACCAGGGAAGACUGUUACAUGAAGGCCGAGAUGAAGACUCUGCUAGAUUUUCAG